GAAAAAAAGCCCAUACAAAUGAAAUGAUUCAUGAAACAUUUGGCAAACGAUUUAAAAAGACCAACAAUUGUCGCUGCUUAUGGUUAUUGUUGUUAUUGCUAUUGUUAUUGCUCAUACAUUGACACAGUAUGGUUUUGUCGUAAAUUAAAAGCAAUUUACAAGCAAAUAAAGGCAAAGAAGCCCAAGAUAUGUGUGUCAACAAAACGAAUGAACGAUAAUUAUUUCCGCAAAUUUUUCGUGCAGGUGACAAAUUAAAAGUCAAAUUGUUGCUCUCCUUUUUCAUUUUCUUCGCCGGUUUGUAGAGGGAAUUUCUUCAACCUCAACAGGAAACAUAAUUUAUUUAUUUAUUUUAUUUAUCAACCCAAUGACAACCAGCAAACAGGGAAGGAAAGAACGAACAGCUCAGCAUAUGGUGCUCGUAACCUUUAUCCCUGUUGCAGGACAGACAGAAAUAAAUUUACGUGGAGUAUACUUAUAUGCACUUUUGUUUGAAAGCUUUAAGAUGUUUGAAAUUAUAUACCAAGACAUUAAGUUGUCGAAGGCCACUUCUACCUUAGAGGUGCUCAAAGUCCUGACUUGCAGGUCAGUAAUUUCACUGCCACAAUUUGUUUCACAAUUUUUAUACACAGAAAUGCAAUUUCAAGUAGUUAAUGCAAUAUAAUAUCCUAAAUUAAACCUUUACGCAACCUACUUCAUACUUUGAACUUGAUUAGGAGUGAAAUCAAAAAGUAAACCAAUAUUUUAACGUUCAAUUUACUGGAAAUAUGAUAAUUAUGCAAAGCUUGAAUGGAUAGCCAAGCAUUCUUCUUGCUGCUCAUUAUCCUUGGAAACAUUACCCACACCGGCCCGAGAAACUCAUUACAAUUGCAUGGGGGAAAGCGGAAAACUUUAAAGUAGCAGUAGUAAUAGCAGCCAGCACCAGGAGCUGUGCUCUCUACCGGGAAUCAACCCAAUCUCAUUCGGACCCAUUGCGGGGAUGCAAAGGGGCCAAAAAUAAACGGCCUACAUUUUCAGCCACCGUACCGCGGACAUCUUCCGCCCACCGCUACGCUCUGCGCCAUCGGUUAACCCAUUUCGAGAAAUACAAAAAUAUCUUUAGCGAAAAGUUCAAUAAAUGCUCCAUUUCCAUUUCGCCAGAGAGCCUCUCGUCGUGCGCUGUGUCUCUCAACUGAAAUUACUA
Molecule: long non-coding RNA, 1180 nt
Organism: Drosophila kikkawai
Lineage: Eukaryota; Metazoa; Arthropoda; Insecta; Diptera; Drosophilidae
Source: RefSeq, a predicted model, not a curated record